ACGAACGCUGGCGGCGUGCUUAACACAUGCAAGUCGAACGAUGACCCAGGAGCUUGCUCUUGGUGAUUAGUGGCGAACGGGUGAGUAACACGUGAGUAACCUGCCCUUGACUCUGGGAUAACCUCCGGAAACGGAAGCUAAUACCGGAUACGACGUACGGAGGCAUCUCCUGUACGUGGAAAGAAUUUCGGUCAAGGAUGGACUCGCGGCCUAUCAGGUAGUUGGUGAGGUAAAGGCCCACCAAGCCUACGACGGGUAGCCG
RNAcentral lists this ribosomal RNA (262 nucleotides) under Leifsonia sp. ISO437_OTU4787. RNAcentral describes it as "partial 16S ribosomal RNA". It matches the Rfam family "Bacterial small subunit ribosomal RNA", at positions 29 to 289 of the family's 1533-position model. Lineage: Bacteria; Bacillati; Actinomycetota; Actinomycetes; Micrococcales; Microbacteriaceae. The record is from RNAcentral.